This 253-nucleotide ribosomal RNA is filed under the name uncultured bacterium. Its description in RNAcentral is "partial 16S ribosomal RNA". It matches the Rfam family "Bacterial small subunit ribosomal RNA", at positions 524 to 773 of the family's 1533-position model. The record is from RNAcentral.
UACGUAGGGUGCAAGCGUUUGUCCGGAAUCACUGGGCGUAAAGGGCGCGUAGGCGGCUCAUGAAGGCUGUGGUGAAAGUCCGGGGCUCAACCUCGGAUCGGCCGUGGCGACUCGUGGGCUGGAGCACUGUAGAGGCGGGUGGAAUUCCUGGUGUAGCGGUGAAAUGCGCAGAUAUCAGGAGGAACACCGGUGGCGAAGGCGGUUCUCUGGGCAAUUACCUGACGCUGGAGGAGCGAAAGUGUGGGGAGCGAAC